Molecule: transfer-messenger RNA, 304 nt
Filed under: Bdellovibrionales bacterium
Lineage: Bacteria; Pseudomonadati; Bdellovibrionota; Bdellovibrionia; Bdellovibrionales
Description: partial transfer-messenger RNA
Rfam family: transfer-messenger RNA
About the family: Bacterial tmRNA, also known as 10Sa RNA or SsrA, is named for its dual tRNA and mRNA-like properties. Its role is to liberate the mRNA from a stalled ribosome. To accomplish this part of the tmRNA is used as a reading frame that ends in a translation stop signal.
Source: RNAcentral
GGGGGCGACAUGGCUUCGACGUGGGUAGAGAAGCUCAAGGAGCAUGCCGGGGAGAGUGUCCUCGAUAAAAAUACUCAACCUUGUAAUUGGCAACGAUUACGCACUUGCAGCUUAAUUAGAAGCAGCACGUCUGCCUAGAUUGUGGUCGCGGAUUUAGGUUAGACGUCAUUUAGUGACCUCGAUUGCAGUGGUUAUCAUCAGCGCUGCAGUUUAAAUAAAGCUGGUGGUAGGUCUUAACUGAUUUUGUUUAUGGAAGCUUUUAAGGCAACUAAAACAUAAACUAAGCACGUAGCCCGCCUUGUAG